AAUCUUCCACAAUGGACGAAAGUCUGAUGGAGCAACGCCGCGUGAGCGAAGAAGGCCUUCGGGUCGUAAAGCUCUGUCCUAAGGGAAGAAACGGACGGUACCUUAGGAGGAAGCCCCGGCUAACUACGUGCCAGCAGCCGCGGUAAUACGUAGGGGGCGAGCGUUAUCCGGAAUUAUUGGGCGUAAAGCGCGCGCAGGCGGUCUUUUAAGUCUGAUGUGAAAUCUUACAGCUUAACUGUAAGCGGUCAUUGGAAACUGGGAGACUUGAGUGCAGAAGAGGAGAGUGGAAUUCCAUGUGUAGCGGUGAAAUGCGUAGAGAUAUGGAGGAACACCAGUGGCGAAGGCGACUCUCUGGUCUGUAACUGACGCUGAGGCGCGAAAGCGUGGGGAUCAAACA
RNAcentral lists this ribosomal RNA (397 nucleotides) under uncultured bacterium. Its description in RNAcentral is "partial 16S ribosomal RNA". It matches the Rfam family "Bacterial small subunit ribosomal RNA", at positions 360 to 774 of the family's 1533-position model. The record is from RNAcentral.